GAAAACUUAAAGGAAAAUCUCGGCUCCACUCUUCGCCGGAAAAAUUCUCAUCUAACCUCAAUUUCUCCGUGGACGAAAAUGAAGAGCAAUCUUGCUUACGAUUUGACCCAUUGCCAUGUUGGGCUCCACCAAGAUCCAGUAUUGGCCGGUAUCGGGUCUAGAUACCGACCGUCCGUGAUCCAAGACUACCCAAAUCCAACCCAUAUGACCAUGAGGUAACUGACCGGUGAUAAACGGUGGCCCGUCUUGUUCAUUCAAAACCAACCCUAGGCAUAUUCCGGUAUGUCACUACACAGCCGAAGCCCAACACUACCAACGAUCAAAUUUCAAAUUUUGAACUUGGCGCUCUUCACUUCGCCAAUUUGGCGAUUCCGCUUCUCCUCAUUUCCCAAAUCUAACAGCCUUUCCUAAAUCUUUCUCUUCUUCUCUAAACUCACUCCAUCCCAUAAUAAGAAGCCAAAAAGAAAGGCAACAAAAAAUGGGAGCCUCUCAUAGCCUGGAACUCCCGGAUUCCGACACGGAGGAACAAGGAGAAACCGACGAAGAAAGUUACGAAACGCCGGAGAAAUCCUUCUCUGGACACAGACCCGAAACCCCUUCGUCUCUCGACGAUGUUGAGGCCAAGCUCAAGGCCCUCAAGCUGAAAUACCCAUCUACAGCAACCCAACAAUUUGAAAACCCCAAUUUGAAAAAUGCAGUCAAGCUUUACCACCACAUUGGCGGCAACACCCCCAAAGCCAAAUGGGUGGCAUCGGAGAAGCUUACUUAUUAUUCCUUUAUUAAGACUUCCAAAUUUGGCGGCCACAGUCAAGCCGACGAUGAAGAUGAGGAGUCAGAAUCGGAAUCUGAAGGAGAAGGUUGGUGGGUAUUGAAGGUUAGUAAUAAAGUUAGGGUUAAAGUUACUACUGAGAUGCAAUUGAAGACUUUUAAAGACCAACGUCGCGCUGAUUUUGUUGCUGAAGGUGUUUGGGCCAUGAAGUUCUUUAGUGAUGAGGAUUAUGGCGUUUUUAUUAGCAAGUAUAAUGAUUGUUUGUUUGAAAAUACUUAUGGAUAUGAGUCCAAUGAAGCUAAUAAGAUCAAAGUUUAUGGGAAGGAUUUUAUUGGAUGGGCUAACCCAGAAAAGGCUGAUGACUCUAUGUGGGAGGAUGCAGAAGAUAGUUUCUUGAAAAGCCCUGAAUCAGCAACUCCAGUUAGGGCUAAUCAAGAUUUGAGAGAGGAGUUUGAGGAGGCAUCGAAUGGAGGGAUACAGAGCUUGGCUUUGGGUGCAUUAGAUAAUAGUUUCUUAGUAGGUGAUUCAGGCAUUCAGGUGGUUAAGAAUUUUAGCCAUGGGAUUCAUGGGAAAGGUGUUUAUGUGAAUUUUGGUGGUGUUGAUAAUAGGAGUGCUUUGAGUUUGGCCCAUUCGACUCCUAAGAAGGCACUUCUUAUGCGUGCUGAGACUAACAUGUUACUUAUGAGUCCAAUUAAUGAGGGGAAGCCACAUUCUACAGGAUUGCAUCAGCUUGACAUUGAAACUGGGAAGAUUGUUACACAGUGGAGAUUUGAGAAAGAUGGAACUGAUAUUUCUAUGAGGGAUAUUGUAAAUGAUAGCAAGGGAGCCCAGUUGGAUCCAUCAGGAUCCACAUUUUUGGGCUUGGAUGAUAAUAGGCUUUGUAGGUGGGAUAUGCGUGAUCGAAAAGGGAUUGUUCAGAAUCUGGCAAAUGCUAGUGCCCCUGUCCUGAAUUGGACACAAGGGCAUCAGUUCUCAAGAGGAUCAAACUUUCAGUGCUUUGCAAGCACUGGUGAUGGUUCAAUUGUGGUUGGGUCUCUUGAUGGGAAGAUUCGAUUGUAUUCGAGCAAUUCUAUGAGGCAGGCAAAAACAGCUUUUCCUGGCCUGGGAUCGCCUAUUACUCAUGUUGAUGUUACCUUUGAUGGGAAGUGGAUAUUGGGUACCACUGAUGCUUACUUGAUCCUUAUCUGCACUUUAUUUACAGACAAGGAAGGUAAGACAAAGACAGGUUUCAGUGGUCGUAUGGGAAAUAGAAUUGCAGCACCCAGAUUGUUGAAGCUAACUCCUUUGGAUUCACUUAUAGCUGGGAUUAAUAAUAAGUUCCGUAAUGCUCACUUUUCAUGGGUCACAGAGAAUGGGAAGCAGGAGCGUCAUUUGGUUGCAACAGUGGGCAAGUUUAGUGUGAUAUGGAAUUUCCUGCAGGUGAAGAAUGGCUCACAUGAGUGCUACCGUAAUCAAGAGGGCCUGAAGAGCUGUUACUGCUAUAAGAUAGUCCUCAAGGAUGACUCUAUUGUUGACAGUCGUUUCAUGCAUGACAAGUUCGCAGUUAGUGAUUCUCCUGAGGCUCCACUGGUCAUUGCGACCCCCAUGAAAGUCAGCUCCUUUAGCAUAUCCAGCAGGCAAUGACAUACUUUGAAGAUGCCCUUUACUCAGACUACUUCUCAGUGUCAUAGGGAGGGGUAUCAAAUGGUUUGUGAAAGCUUCAGAAUUGUGUUUUAGACUGUUGUUUAACUAAGAUAAGCUUGGAUCAUCUGAAGAUGAAGAAUGAUGUGCAAAUGCAAUAUAGUUGUAUAAGAUUUCUACCUCGUUGCUAGUUAUUUAAUGACUGCAAUUUUAUCAUUGUAUUACAAUUACACUUUUCUCAAUGGAGGAGCAACUGCUACUCAUGAUAUGGUGAAGCACUAUGACGUAUCCUUUUAUUUUCUUCUUAUUAAUGACUAUAAAGCUGCCUCUCAACCUCAGAAUGCUCACAUUUGAUUAGCUGUCAAUUUUAUUUGCUUUAAUGCUGCUUAAAGUGCAAUUUUCUGGAUAUAAGACAGUUCAUGCUCUCUUUAUUAGUUUAUUUCUCUCUUUGUUUAAAUGAAUGUUUUCUUUAUAUGAUAAUGUAUUCGUAUGAUGUUGAGAUGCAGAAGAAACUUCAUUUUACUUAUUAUUUUGAUAUGUAGUUGCUUCUGCAGAGAGUUUUUGUUAAAGUGGAAGGGGCUUUUAGACUUUAGUCAGCAGAUUGUGGAGGUUCUGAGUAGCAUUU
This 3014-nucleotide unclassified non-coding RNA is filed under the name Hevea brasiliensis (rubber tree). Lineage: Eukaryota; Viridiplantae; Streptophyta; Magnoliopsida; Malpighiales; Euphorbiaceae. The record is from RNAcentral.